GUGCUCGCUGCGGCAGCACAUAUACUAAAAAUAAUUGGAAUGAUACAGAGAAGAUUAGUAUGUUCCCAGCGUAAGGAUGACACGCAAAUUCGUAAAGCAUUCCAUAUUUUU
Small nuclear RNA from Myodes glareolus (Bank vole), 111 nucleotides. NCBI's taxonomy places the organism in Eukaryota, Metazoa, Chordata, Mammalia, Rodentia, Cricetidae. The record is from RefSeq and is a predicted model, not a curated record.